Molecule: ribosomal RNA, 913 nt
Filed under: Klebsiella variicola
Lineage: Bacteria; Pseudomonadati; Pseudomonadota; Gammaproteobacteria; Enterobacterales; Enterobacteriaceae
Description: partial 23S ribosomal RNA
Rfam family: Bacterial large subunit ribosomal RNA
Source: RNAcentral
UGUGAACUCGAAGAGUAGGGCGGGACACGUGGUAUCCUGUCUGAAUAUGGGGGGACCAUCCUCCAAGGCUAAAUACUCCUGACUGACCGAUAGUGAACCAGUACCGUGAGGGAAAGGCGAAAAGAACCCCGGCGAGGGGAGUGAAAAAGAACCUGAAACCGUGUACGUACAAGCAGUGGGAGCACCUUCGGGUGUGACUGCGUACCUUUUGUAUAAUGGGUCAGCGACUUAUAUUCUGUAGCAAGGUUAACCGUAUAGGGGAGCCGCAGGGAAACCGAGUCUUAACUGGGCGUUAAGUUGCAGGGUAUAGACCCGAAACCCGGUGAUCUAGCCAUGGGCAGGUUGAAGGUUGGGUAACACUAACUGGAGGACCGAACCGACUAAUGUUGAAAAAUUAGCGGAUGACUUGUGGCUGGGGGUGAAAGGCCAAUCAAACCGGGAGAUAGCUGGUUCUCCCCGAAAGCUAUUUAGGUAGCGCCUCGUGAACUCAUCUUCGGGGGUAGAGCACUGUUUCGGCUAGGGGGUCAUCCCGACUUACCAACCCGAUGCAAACUACGAAUACCGAAGAAUGUUAUCACGGGAGACACACGGCGGGUGCUAACGUCCGUCGUGAAGAGGGAAACAACCCAGACCGCCAGCUAAGGUCCCAAAGUCAUGGUUAAGUGGGAAACGAUGUGGGAAGGCACAGACAGCCAGGAUGUUGGCUUAGAAGCAGCCAUCAUUUAAAGAAAGCGUAAUAGCUCACUGGUCGAGUCGGCCUGCGCGGAAGAUGUAACGGGGCUAAACCAUGCACCGAAGCUGCGGCAGCGACACUAUGUGUUGUUGGGUAGGGGAGCGUUCUGUAAGCCUGCGAAGGUGGCCUGUGAGGGCUGCUGGAGGUAUCAGAAGUGCGAAUGCUGACAUAAGUAACGAU